This 468-nucleotide ribosomal RNA is filed under the name uncultured bacterium. RNAcentral describes it as "partial 16S ribosomal RNA". It matches the Rfam family "Bacterial small subunit ribosomal RNA", at positions 28 to 507 of the family's 1533-position model. The record is from RNAcentral.
GACGAACGCUGGCGGCGUGCUUAACACAUGCAAGUCGAACGGAAAGGCCCUGCUUUUGUGGGGUGCUCGAGUGGCGAACGGGUGAGUAACACGUGAGUAACCUGCCCUUGACUUUGGGAUAACUUCAGGAAACUGGGGCUAAUACCGGAUAGGAGCUCCUGCUGCAUGGUGGGGGUUGGAAAGUUUCGGCGGUUGGGGAUGGACUCGCGGCUUAUCAGCUUGUUGGUGGGGUAGUGGCUUACCAAGGCUUUGACGGGUAGCCGGCCUGAGAGGGUGACCGGCCACAAUGGGACUGAGAGACGGCCCAGACUCCUACGGGAGGCAGCAGUGGGGAAUAUUGCACAAUGGGCGGAAGCCUGAUGCAGCAACGCCGCGUGCGGGAUGACGGCCUUCGGGGUGUAAACCGCUGUCGCCUGUGACGAAGCGUGAGUGACGGUAAUGGGUAAAGAAGCACCGGCUAACUACGUG